UUGCUUCUUGAGAUCAAGGGUGGCAAAAGACUUGGCUGAACAAUGGAGUAGAGAACAUAAAAAGCUUCUUGAUGAUACACCUUCUCAGCCAACAAGACCGUAUUCUGCACCGGCUCUCUCACCAUCUCCUUUUAUGCCGAGAUCUGCAACACAUGUUUGUUAUUCUGGAAACAUUAGUUUACCGUCAGGCCUUCAAACAGAGAGAGCAGAAACAACAUUUUCCCCCAGAGGUUUAUUCAUUCAUAAUGAGAACACUCGUGGGAGCAUUCCUGUGGGAAGAACUCCUGUGAAUCAUCAUCUUGGCAGCAAUCCAGCAAGAUCUGAUUACUCAACCACAGGAAUUAGAUACCCGAGGAAUUUUGAAGCACACGACAUCAAAAAUCAGUUUGAGACAUCUACUUUACAUAGAGGAUUACUUGAAACGCCCAGGCAUGAGGUGCAAUCUCCUCCGGGUAGUAGUAUUACUCUUCCUCACUGGCUUAGUGAAGCACUGAAAAGAAAUCAAGAGAGAUUAGGAUUGGCUGACCCAAGCACUGGGCGGUCUAUACUUAAGAACGAGGAGAGAAUCUAUAAUCCCAAUUUUGAGAAUUUACCUGCUCCAGAUCAUACUGUGGCUUCUCAUGGAAAUGCUGGCGGUACAAGGGUGGAUGAACCAUGGUUCCCAGAGAGAUCAUGCAUGAUUCCUGUUCGAGGCAUAACUUUUCAGGGUUUUCCAUCAGUUGAUCCAGGAUGGGAUACAAAAAGUUUUGAUUCAUCUGCACCCAGUACCUUGGGUAUGAUUAUUGGGGAAACAUCCAAGGAUGCAGUUGAUGCAGGUUUAGGUCCAAAUAAUGCAUUAGAUUGGAAUAAGAAAAGUUCUGGUUCAGUUGGACCCAGUAACUUGGGAAUGAUUCAUGAGGACACAUCCUCAGAAGACACCAUAUCAGAUGAUCAGAUAGGAAAGAACCAGACAUACAAGAAACUGGUUUGAAAUUGGCCAUUUAUACAGGUUUUCUUUUCUUUCUUAUGGGCCUCUCUAUUUCUGCUGUUUAUGCAUGGCCAUUUAUGUUUCCCUUAAUAUAUUGUUGGUGUAGAUAAUUAUCAGAUUAGGAUGGCUAUAUUCACUUAAAGCUCUCUUUGUCUUCCUCUUGUAGACAUGACAAUGCACUGUUUACCAAGACUUCAAUCUGCUAAGAUGCAUUAUUGUGGAACUUAUCCUAUGACUUUUGUCUUCUUUGCAUAUGUACUUUUAUACAAAGCUAUUUCUUCUAAGGAAAUUGAGUACCAAAUUCUGUUAAUUCUAUUUUCUUAAAAAAGAAGAUCUUGUUAAUCUACAUCCAAAAGAUGAUAAAGUAAACUUGUACUGUUUCUGGUUCUCAUCAAGCAGAUUAAUCUACACAUCAGUGUGUUAUAGUUGUGGUAAACCAAGUCAUUAUGAAUGUUAUAAUCUCGAUAUGUGAAUGGAUUACAUCAGCAAAGUUUCUUGUUGUCUCUUGUAUGUGCAAAAACGAGUCACUUGGAUGAACUAACAAAUUAAAGAGUUUCCAGAAUGACAGUAUAAAAGACAAUAUUCUCUUUGGUGUACUGUUACCCAAGAAGAGAGUCAACUAAUUUCUUCAUCAUUUUCUCUUUAGAUCAAUGUGCUUGAUCAGAAGUAGUGAAGCUAGGGAUGUGGUAUGACUUAAACUAAUGAAUUGGCUGCAAGCACAAUUUUACCUUGAAAAUGAUCUGAAGGGCCAAAGUCUAAAUUAGGAAUAUUCGAUCUCCUGUAAGCUUCUGAAAGUUAUUCAUACUGGCUACUCUGACAACUUAAAAUGUCAAUUAUAUUUGAGUUUGUAAUAAUUUCCUUUGUUGUGAAUCAGAUAAGGAAAUUGGGAGGUACCUGAUGGCUUGACCAAUCCACAUUGGACAAAUGGAACAGCACAAAACACAAGCAAUUAACCAGAGAUGUACAAAUUCAUUACGACUAAAUUUCUCUUAAGAGGCUCACAAUCAAUCAAAUAACACCUAAAUUGCAAAGACAAGUUGCUUAUAAUUAGAUAUUCAGCUUUUCUAAAGAGUGAAUCAUACAAUUCAUAGGUUUUCUGUUGUCUAAGCUUGCAUUACUGUGAUGAAUGAUGCAAAUACACAGGAUAGAAAUUAAAGUUCCUCUGGACCAUGCUUGACGAGCUGCAGGAUUUGAAUCUUAAAACUAGUGAAUUAUUAUCUUUUCCUUGCCUCACAUAUGACUGCACAAUUAAGUGGUGAUCAGAUGCUUGGACCAUAUUGUGAAGAGAAUGAUCAUGAGACUCACAUUAGUCAUCACUAAUGAUCUAAAAAACAAGGCUAAUAUACCUUCUCAAAGCCAAGCACCCUUUGCUCAAUCACAUGGACAUGCCAUUCUACUCCUCAUUCUACCUUGUUAGAUUAAGAUCCCAAAUCCAACAGUGACAUGGGAUACAACAUCCAAAGUUACUGCUUCUAGAAGUUAAAGGUACUCAUUCACUUCCCUUGUUCAAGAGAAUGAAGCUUAGCUCCCUAAGCAGGCAAGCCUCAAUAGGUUUUCAAUGCUCGAUCAUAUUAGACAGAAAACAACCAAGAUGGCAAAUAGUUGCCUUCUCUUUCAUACAAAUCUCAAGUAAUGGUGAAAUUUGAUACUGCAUUUUGAUCACUUAAGACUUAAAUUAGUCCUAGGUGUGUACUUGAUAUAUAGAUACAAGACUAGAGCCCGAUGGCAGAUGGGAGACUUAAUGGGUAAUGACUACAAAUUUUGUCUUUGUUCCCUUCAAAUAAAACAGAUUGGAAAAUUCACUACCUGAGGCCAAAAAAAUCCUCCAAACUUACCAAUGGAUGAUACCAAAUCAUAAAAUUAGGAACAAGGAAAGACAAAAAGAUGUUGUAGAGAACAGAAUGGCUCACAUUGACACAAGCUUUGGGCUGUCGUUCAGCAUUACCAUCCCAGCAGCUAACUCAGCAUCGAGUGGACUGAGGUGCAGGUCCCAUCAUUUGCUUCAAGCUGCAAAAAAUUGCAUAAGAUUUAUAAGAUUCAGGUGAAAUUUGAGACUUUCAAGAACAUGGCAUUUUCAUUUAUCAUUGAUCAAGUAACAGAAAGACAAUAACUAAUUUCCGGUUUUUAAGUCAUAAAACUAUUAAAGUACCUAGAAUAUAUCACACCUAGAAUAUAUCACAAAGAAGUAAUAUUAGUUUUCAGGUUUCUUGGUUGAUUUUGUUUCUUACAAUUUCUACCCUGAACAUUUUUUUCUUUUGUGAAUAACCUGCUAUCAGUUUCUAGUUAUGAGGUCAAGACACAGCACCUCAAAGUAUACAAGCUUGAACAACUUUCAUGACUGAAUAAUUAUCCCAUCCAGAAAGAAGUUUCAAUUGAUAAAGAAGGAUUGUCCUCCUCAAUCAAGGCUUCAUGAUAUCCUGGCCUAUGUGUUCUAUAUGUAGUUUUUCUUUAUUUGCUCAUGCUGACCUUUAGAUAGCUGUCUAUGUACACGCCUUGUGCUAAACUCCAAAGUCAAGCCGUCUCCGCAUGGUUCCUCCAUGAGUUAUUCCUACUAUGGUCAAUGACAAUGUUAUGUCAUCAUCAUAACUUCCCAAAGUUCCCAUUAAUUUCAUCCAUGUUAUUUUAAAUAUUUCCUCGAUUUCUCCUUUGACACCAAUCCAUGCUGUUCUAGGGUCCUGGUAAGAACAAAAUUGUUGAUCACUUUUACUUGUAAUAUAGGCUGGGAUGGAAUUCUCCACUAAAAACAAGUUAUCGAUAACCUAGAUAUCUCUUUGGAACAUGAUUUCCGAAGAGCAACCUUCUAGAAUGGUAAAGGAUUAGGGAAAGAUCUUACUCUGUAGAAGUGCUGCAGCAGAUUAGAGAAAGAGAUUUGCGUAUGAGAAUAAUAUAUUCUUUUAACAGCAAUCGAAGUUUGCAGACGCUAACUUUUUCUCCUUCCCAUUUCUCAGGCUUUUCACUCCCUCCUCUUUUUACCUGUGCUUGGCAACUUUUUUUCUGUCUUCAAACUAGUGAUCUUCCGUUCUUAUGCAGGUUUCUGAAAUGACAAUAUAUAUUGCUAUUGUGCUAACUCAACAACAGCAUCUCCUCUCACUGCUUAUAGCCUAGAAAGACAGUUCAAAUUCCAAUCUAUGGAACUGAAACACCUGAUUAAUUUUUGACCUAUCAAUCCUAUGUGCAGUUGCCCUAACACUGCUCUUAUCACAUAACAGCAAUUCUAAGAGCCAGUAACAUAGUGCGGCAAUAUGCUACUAUGCCAUAAGCAAUCACUUGUGCAUCCGUCACCGGAAAAGAUGAACUGAAUUCCUCAAUGAUGCGUGGUAUCCUAUUCAAUCAGUUGGUACUUAAAACGCCUACUUGCGCGAGGCAAGUUGGGUGUCAAAGUGAUCUAACAUGAAAGGAGAUGUGAAAUGUUUCUUAAAGAGCAGCAUUAAACUCGAUGCCACAAUGAAUUCUAGUUGAUGAGAAAUCAGAAACCAAAUCUUUACUAUCAAGCAUCAAAUCGGCCACAGGGGUACCGUUUCUUGUGGCGCUUCGAGCGGGAAUGCUCAUCCCGGACAUCCUCAUUAGCCGCCGCGUCCUCCGCCUGCUUCAGGAUCUCGUUGUAAACCUCAUCGUCGCGAGGUCAUCCGAGACCAAUUCCGUCAAGGAGAUCGGUACCCGAGGGGAUUGAGAGCGGAAGGCAGCAAAGAAUCAAAGGAAUUUGGGAUUGAGAAGCCGGCGCUUCUUCACCUUCCUGUGCGGACACUUCCCUCCCAUCUCUUCCGGCGCUUCUUAUCACUCGCUUGGGGAUCGUCGAGAAGGCGGCGGCAAAGGAGAGAGACGCGGAGGAACCCUAUGAGCCUGAGGAAGUGCUUUUGCAUACACCCUUCAAAAGCUUGGCAUUUGCGUUUAUUAUCGAUAGGACCGGGUUUGAGCCCAGGC
RNAcentral lists this long non-coding RNA (4888 nucleotides) under Musa acuminata (dwarf banana). RNAcentral's name for it is "long non-coding RNA (MACU_LNC008259)". The record is from RNAcentral. Lineage: Eukaryota; Viridiplantae; Streptophyta; Magnoliopsida; Zingiberales; Musaceae.